RNAcentral lists this ribosomal RNA (429 nucleotides) under bacterium. Its description in RNAcentral is "partial 16S ribosomal RNA". It matches the Rfam family "Bacterial small subunit ribosomal RNA", at positions 355 to 776 of the family's 1533-position model. The record is from RNAcentral.
UAGGGAAUCUUCCACAAUGGACGCAAGUCUGAUGGAGCAACGCCGCGUGAGUGAAGAAGGUUUUCGGAUCGUAAAGCUCUGUUGUUGGUGAAGAAGGAUAGAGGCAGUAACUGGUCUUUAUUUGACGGUAAUCAACCAGAAAGUCACGGCUAACUACGUGCCAGCAGCCGCGGUAAUACGUAGGUGGCAAGCGUUGUCCGGAUUUAUUGGGCGUAAAGCGAGCGCAGGCGGAAUGAUAAGUCUGAUGUGAAAGCCCACGGCUCAACGGAGGAACUGCAUCGGAAACUGUCAUUCUUGAGUGCAGAAGAGGAGAGUGGAAUUCCAUGUGUAGCGGUGGAAUGCGUAGAUAUAUGGAAGAACACCAGUGGCGAAGGCGGCUCUCUGGUCUGCAACUGACGCUGAGGCUCGAAAGGAUGGGUAGCGAACAGG